CAGCAGCCGCGGUAAUUCCGGCGGCCCGAGUGGCGGUCACUAUUAUUGGGCUUAAAGCGUCCGUAGCCGGGUUGGGAAGUCCUCCGGGAAAUCUGGCCGCUUAACGGUCAGAAUGCCGGAGGAUACUCCCAGCCUAGGGAGCGGGAGAGGCCGAGGGGAUUCCCGGAGGAGGGGGGAAAUCCUAUAAUCCCGGGAGGACCACCUGUGGCGAAGGCGCUCGGCUGGAACGCGUCCGACGGUGAGGGACGAAGGCCAGGGGAGCAAACCGGAUUAGAUACCCGGGUAGUCCUGGCUGUAAACGAUGCGGACUUUGUGUCGGACAAGCUAUGAGCUUGUCCGGUGCCGGAGGGAAACCGUUAAGUCCGCCGCCUGGGGAGUACGGCCGCAAGGCUGAAACUUAAAGGAAUUGGCGGG
This 414-nucleotide ribosomal RNA is filed under the name uncultured microorganism. RNAcentral describes it as "bacterial SSU rRNA". It matches the Rfam family "Archaeal small subunit ribosomal RNA", at positions 459 to 872 of the family's 1478-position model. The record is from RNAcentral.